RNAcentral lists this ribosomal RNA (128 nucleotides) under uncultured eukaryote. RNAcentral describes it as "partial small subunit ribosomal RNA". It matches the Rfam family "Eukaryotic small subunit ribosomal RNA", at positions 1651 to 1797 of the family's 1831-position model. The record is from RNAcentral.
CCCUGCCAUUUGUACACACCGCCCGUCGCACCUACCGAUUGAAUGGUCCGGUGAAACCUCCGGAUUGCCUGGCCAGCGCGAGAAGUUGGUUAAACCUUACCAUUUAGAGGAAGGUGAAGUCGUAACAA